GGCUGGGUAGCUCAGUGGAUUGAGAGCCAAGCCUAGAGGUGGGAGGUCCUAGGUUCGAAUCCGGGCUCAGCCA
Transfer RNA from Monodelphis domestica (gray short-tailed opossum), 73 nucleotides. It matches the Rfam family "tRNA". Rfam says of the family: Transfer RNA (tRNA) molecules are approximately 80 nucleotides in length. Their secondary structure includes four short double-helical elements and three loops (D, anti-codon, and T loops). The record is from Rfam. Lineage: Eukaryota; Metazoa; Chordata; Mammalia; Didelphimorphia; Didelphidae.